UGAAAAAUGAAAAAUUGAAAAUAACUUCAUGAGCAAUAAAAUUUAACGCGAUAAAAUUUGCUAUUCAAGUGUUGAUUCGAUUAUGCGAUUCAUCAUGUUGAGAAUUAUUCCUUCCUGGUUUUAUUCUAGUGACUGGCGAUGAUUUAUUCAAUUAGAAACACCAGUACCAGUUGGAAUUAUCUUAUUACGGGUAGUAUUUAUUUAUGAAACUGAAUAUAUGAUAAUCUCUUAUUAUUCUGGCUUGUUGUACUUUGUGUGAAAAAUUCUUUCAGGUUAGAUAGAAAAACUGAUGAACGAAGAACGAACAAGACAAGAAACUGUCAAUAGUGCAGUUUACUUCAAUUUGUGAUUAUACGUACAUGCAUAUCUCCGGAGAUGAAAAAUGAACGAGGCUAACGGUAGAUGACGCAUCGGACGAGUAUUGAUGGUGUUUCACUGUUUCAUAUUAUUUUCAAUCGGGAUGAGAAGAACUGAACUUUUUAGUCGAACUACUAGCUUUUCGAACACACAUUCACACGUAUAUAAAUCUUUGUAGACGAUGAAAAAUAAACAAGGCCAACGGUAGAUGGUGAAUCGGACGAGUAUGCCGUCGUUACGUUCUUCUAGAGAAAAUUUCAUGUGGAUGUUUACAAAGCGCAGUUUCAUAUUGAAGUUGAAGAAAGUGUGCAAAAUGAAAAGCACGCUCGCCUACCUUAAAGAUGCUUCAUCUUGCGGAAAAAACACUUACAUUCUUUCUAAAAAUCGUUGAAGUUUUGUCUUCAACCUGUGUGACCUGCGUGAAAGUGAUGAAAAUGUUUGUAUGAGUCUUGGCGGUUCUUUUAAUAUCAUGUAUUUUUUUUAAAACUUUUUUCGCGCAGCGUCUAUGUUUUUUUCCAACUUGACGAUUUUUUUGCUUUUAAAGCAUUUUUUGGGGAUGUCAUUCUUUUUUUUCAAAUUGAUUUUUUUCUCUAGUUUGGCGGGUUUUUUGCUUUUUGAAGUAUCUUGCAGGCAUGAAAUUCGAUCACUUGAAAAGUGACUCAGUCACUAAUUUCACUUGCAAGUCACUUUGUUCACUAUUUCGGCGAAAAAGACCAAAUUUCAAAGAUUUGUCGUGUAAAAAAGGAAAAGUGCAAAAUUUUAGGAAAUGAUCAAUAUUUUUCAUGAUAAUCCUGAAUCGUCAUUUAAAAAAAAAUAAAAAUGAACUAUUCUACAUUGUAAAUGUAAGCCGAUGUGAUUGGAUAGAGUCGAUAUUUUCUAAACCGUACAAAAGUAGAUCGAAAGAUAAGGCAAAAAUUUAUCAUCUGUCAAAAUUUCAAGUGCUAAAGUGACUUUUUCGAUUUUUGGUGAAUUUUUGAAGAUCAAAUUGAGGCUAAAAAUGAGGGAAAAAAUCAAAUGAUUUUGAAGCUUCCAGCUACUCUUUGGAAAUUUCAAUUUUCCAAAAAACGCCGUACAACCUUUCAAAAAGUCGCUGGAGCCUCACUGAGGCUCUAAAACGACUUGAAAUCCACCAGCAGGUGACUUCGUUGCGUAUUGAAAGUAGUUUGCAGAAUGAAUUUCGGCUUUCCAUCUCCAUUGACGAAAUUUUGGAAAAUUUCAAGGUUCAAAAAUCUACUGGAGGCUCCAGUAAUUUUCAAAAGGUCGCUAAAGGUGGAGAGGCUCCAAAACGACUUGAAAUCCACCGGCAGUCGACUUCGUAGCGUAUUGGAUUAGUUUGCAGAAUAAAUGUCGUGAAAUUUUGUGGGAAUUUCGGGUUUCAAAAAUCUGCUGGUUGCUCAAGAACUGCUCAAAACGGGUUGAAACAGUUUCCAAUCGAUUUGGCGUGUCAAAAAUAGGGUAUAUCUCAAAUUUCAGUUUUCUUGGUCAAUUUGGUAAACUUUAGAUUUUUUCCUCAUUUUUGGCCUAAAUUUGAUUUUUAACAAUUCACCAAAAAUCGAAAAAGGCACUUCAGCACUUAAAAUUUUGACAGGUGAAAUUUUUGCCUGAUCUUUUGGUCUACUUUUGUACGUUUUAAAAAAUUUCCUGCAAGUCCAAGUCGCUGGAGGCAGCAGUCGAUUCUGUUGCGUAUUUGCAGAAUAAAUUUUGGCUUUCCAUCUCCAUUUGAUGAAAUAUUAGGAAAUUUCAAGGUUCAAAAAUCUACUGGAAUUGCCAGUAAUUUUCAAAAAGUCGCUGGAGGCUCCGAAACGACUUGAAAUCCACCUGCAGUCGAAUUCGUGGCGUAUCGAAAUUAGUUUGCAGAAUGAAUCUUGGCUUUCCAACAACAUUUGAUAAAAUUUUGUGGGGAUUUCGGGUUUAAAAAUUUGCUGGAGGCUCCAGAAUUGCUCAAAACGGAUUGAAACAGUUUCCAAUCGAUUUGGCGUGUCGAAAAUAGGGUAUAUCCCAAAUUGCAGCUUUCUUGGUCAAUUAGGUAAAAUUUUGAUUUUUUUCCCCUCAUUUUUGGCCUGAAUUUGAUUUUUAGAAAUUCACCAAAAAUCGAAAUAGGCACUUUGGCAUUUGAAAUUCUGGCAGGUGAUGAUGAGAUGAAUCUUGCCUUAUCUUUUGAUCUACCUUUGAAUGGUUUAAAAAAUUUCGUACAAGUCAGCUGUGUUGGAACGCAAAAUCUACGCUUAUCAGUACCUUUGAAAUCAGAAAAAAAAAACUAAUCAUCGGUCAACAUGAAAUACAUUUAAAUAUUCUCAUUUUUCUUUUUCUCAGUUGGUGCUAAAAAUAAAAUUUUAUAUCCAUAAAAAAUGAAGAUUAAAAAAUCAAAAAGGUGGUUAUUAAAAGCAAGAUAGAAUUCUAAAAAUUUCAAGAUCAUAUUUUACGGGGGAGGGGGGGAGGUUAGAACUUGAGAAAUGACAAUGCUGAAAAACGAACGAGCGGUAUUUUUUAACUUUCUGAGUUUUACUUUUUUUUUUUCUGGUGUUCGUAAUUACUUGAUUAUUACACCCGUCGUCGCGCGUCGUGUGAGAUUCUACAUCGAGUUGGUAAGGUCAAGUUUUUUAAUUAGGUCUAAGCAUUUUUUAAUUUCGGAAGGGUCGUCUGGAAUGAAUAGGGAUCUUUCAUCUUUGUAGGGAUAGUCUGUGCUGAUAUAAGGAGGGACAGUGAGACUGAUCGAGAGAAUACGUGCUGUAGAGUUGAUAUGGACAGAUUUUAUCGCAUUUUUUUGAAAAAAUGGAAUUUUUAAAGUCAUUGGAGGCUCCAAAACGACUUGAAACCACCCCCAGUUGACUUAGCAAGUCAAAAUUAAGACGCAGUUUUUAUUUAGUGAAAUCUGCUUAGGCUUCAGAAUUUCUUAAAGCGAGGGUAUAAUCUAUCGCAAAUUUCAGCCUUCUUGUUAAAAUUUUGAUUUUUUUCUCCAUUUUUGGCACUGGGAUUUUCAAAAAUUUACAUACCAAAAAUCGAAAAAUGCACUUUAGUACCUACAAGUUUGGCUGAUGAUACAUUUUUGAUUUUUUGCAUGCUGGUUCGAUCUACAUAUGUGACGCGGCACGACAAAAUCGACCUUCCGUCUGAAAAAAUCAUUUUUCACUUUUUGAUGGAUUUUUGGUCCUCAGACAUUCAAAAUUCAUUUAAGACCUCCCAGAAGUCCCUAUGAUUUUCAUAGCUUCAUAUACAUGGUAAUCCAGUCAAAAGUGUGCUCAUUUUUUUGAUUUUUUUGAUUUUUUUUUGAUUUUUUGAUUAUUUCAACUUUUAAAUCGACCUGCAGGCUAAACAAAGCGUUCUACGAGAAAAAUACAUCGAGCAAAGUUGUAGAGAAUUAAAUUUCCAAAAACCUAUAAGAGGUUUAUUUUUCUCGAAAAUGCAUAGUUUUUCCAUUAUUCUCAAAAAACAAAAACCUCAUGAUGAUUACCAUAAAAUUUCUGUUUUUUGAGAAUAAUGGAAAAACUAUGCAUUUUCGAGAAAAA
Molecule: long non-coding RNA, 3863 nt
Organism: Planococcus citri (citrus mealybug)
Lineage: Eukaryota; Metazoa; Arthropoda; Insecta; Hemiptera; Pseudococcidae
Exons: 3
Source: RefSeq, a predicted model, not a curated record